This is a long non-coding RNA of Pipra filicauda (Wire-tailed manakin), 3297 nucleotides long. RefSeq lists it as uncharacterized. The record is from RefSeq and is a predicted model, not a curated record. The transcript is spliced from 3 exons. NCBI's taxonomy places the organism in Eukaryota, Metazoa, Chordata, Aves, Passeriformes, Pipridae.
AAAUGCAGGUUUUAUUUUUAAUCACUCUGCAAUAAAACAGAAAGCUCUUAAGAUGUAGCUUUGAAUUGUACAUGUCACUAUUUAUUCCUGUCCCCUGGCAUGCUCAGCACACGUGUAAUUCCAUGCUAACCUGGACAUUUUCCUCCUUUGUGUGGCUGUAUCGAGUGCCUGAGCACUUGAGAACUCACUUGUAUAAUCGAUACACUUACAAAAGGGAACAUAUAAAUAACGUGAAGAGUCUGACUUGAACUGACAGUGGGGGUAUCGCAGCGAGGGCUAAUGCCUCCUCCUUAACUCAUGCUGCUGCUGGAGAGGAGAAAACCACACACAACAGACUGAGUUAAGGACUAACAUGAGAUUUCCCAGCAUUUCCAAGCAGCGUGGUUCAAGGCAGAAAGCUUCCUGAUACCUGCAGUGCAAAAUCCUGGAGCUAAGUUGUCUACCUGUUCUUGGAUUUAGUUGCUGUUUGCUUUUCCUCUCCUUAAUUUUAAAAGGGAAUUAACAUUUCUCCUAGAAGACUAUGAUGAUGCAGCUCAGCAGAGACUCACCAACUCGAGGUUUAGCAUCAGCAAGUAUUUUUACCUCCAGCACAGGCAGUUUUGUUCCUUCAGCAAGGCAUGGCCGGAGGAACACUGGAUACCUGAAACUCCUGGGAGAAGACUGCGUUUCCUGGGGUUCCAUCCUUGGCUUUCCUGCACUGUCGGAGACCAGCUGCAACCCCGGUGUGAUGAAGAAUGACACAAUGGCUUAAUGGUCAUAUAGGAUGGAGCAAAUUGGUGCAAAAAUUAUUGUUACCUGGCAAAACCAGAGGGUUUAAGGUUCAGUGUUGAAAGCUUUGUCUUGCAAGGGUACAGCCCUCUCAUCCUGACACUGCCAUCCUUCUCUGUCCUGAUGCUGCCUGGGUGCACUGAAGUGAUGACCUGCCAGAGGAUGGAGCACAGGAGACCAUGGAUCAGCACAUUGUACAAAGCACAACACAAAGCAAAGCCUUUUCUGCAGCUUUCAAGCUGAAGAUGGAUCAGGCCAGCGUUUCCCUGCUUGCCAGUUUCCCACAUGAGCUGGCAGUGGCUUCCCAAAUGUGGUUCUGCAAGGAGAUGUACCAGAGAAGGACAGGAUAGAGGUAAGUAAAGCUGCAGGUGAGUAACAGGGAAAUCCUGGUGAGGCAACACAUGGGUGCACAGCAAGCCUUUCAUCAUUACUGCUGCAGCAGCAGUGGCACUGCAAAAGGUGGCACCUCUAAUGGUGGAAUCUCUGGUUUCAAUGACCCUGAGUAGGUGUGCUUGGAGUGGCCACAGUGCCAUGGACAAGUGGCAUCUCCCAUGGCAGUGAAGGUGAAUUUCUGAGGCUCUGGAAAAAAGAUUAGAGGUCUCAGGGGUUUUUUUGUGAAAAUGGUUGUUUUCAGUGUGAGUUCUACUCCUGCUUGAGUAGAGGGAGGAAGGAAAAGGUCUUUGUUGAGAGCCAUGGUAAGGCAGGAUGGGAGCUGAGAUAUCCAUCUGCAAUGGAACAACCAUGGGAGCAUUCAUGUGGUGUUUCAUCAGGGCAUAAUGGGAGAUUUUGUCUAACCAUAGUCUCAUUUCUCUUAAGAGGCUGUUUCAGACCAGAGCAGAGCAUCCUUUUCUCUGGCUUUUGCCAGAUGAAAUUUGGAAGAAGAGGCUAGCAGGUGCUGGCAAAGGCUCCAGAGGUUCAUCCUGGAUCCCAGUUCCUCCAGUAUAUAAGCCCAGGGAUGAAACAUUCUGGCUCCUUUUGGGGAGCACAGCAUGUGUGAUCAGCGAUGACCCUUCCUAAUUCUUCCUAGUUUUCCUCUGGCACAGGAAAUUCUUUCUUCUUCAUGGAUUUUUACUAUCCCUGAAGUUAAAAAAAAAAAAAAAAAAAGAUGUAAAAAUUAAAGCUUUACUAUUUUGCAGAGCCAUCGCUUCUGAUCAGAAACUGAAAUCCUGCUUUGUGCUCCUUCAGUGUGGAAAUCUGUCAGCUAUCCAGACUGAAGGUUAAGAACACUGAAUGUGGGGGCUUUGUCCCAAAACGAGCUCCAUUUCCUUACCUGAAGGUGGGACAACACCGAAAUCAGAAUUUACAGCUGUAUUUCAUAUCUGCAGGUUCAGCUCUGGUGUCACUGGCAGCAGUUAUGGGAUAACCAGGUAGCAUCUCUUCAUACCCUGGAGAGACCUGGCCCUUACUAAAGGUCUUGUUUACGGACAGGGAAACUGAGUCAAAGAGCAUUGAUCCAAGUCCACAGAAAUCAGUGGCAGACCAUCCAGAGCCCCAGCAGAUCUAAUAACUUCUCCAGCUAUUACGAGCAGGAAGAAAGGGCCGGAGUGUUGUUAGGGGCAUAAUUGGAAACAGAUGGAUCACUGGAAAUUUUCUGUCCCUUCAGUGGACUUCACAUGAGGAUUUCAAAUAGUUGGUACCCAAAUUAUUUAAGGUGUGUAUUGCUGGGAGGAGGGAAUGAGCCAUGCAACUUGGAAGCUCAGUCUCAAAGACUCCUUUUGGAAGUGAAACUAAAGCUUUAUAUGCACCUGAAGCAAAAAGUCUCUCUCUCUCUCUGCAUCUGCCUGUGAAAAGGAAAAAGAAAGAGCAGCCCAUUUGUGGAUGUGUUCUUAUCGUAAUUCUGGAUUUGAAAUAUCUGUCCUUGAUUAAAGUGGGAAAUGCAAUUGCACAAGUCAUUAAUUAUUACUGAUAAACCGAAGUAGUGAUGGAGCCAAAUAAAAAUCUCCUGCCACUACAGUGGAUUUCUGAUAAAAAGACAGACCUGGGCACCUGCAGCCUAUUUGCAUUUCCCUUUCUUUGUGAAAUAUAUGCCUGAACUUCUGGCUCUCCAAACCUCCCUUGUCCUCGGAGUACAUGAUGUCUAUAGGUACGGAUCAAGAGACGUGAACUUUAUCUACAGCGAUGGCAAAAAACAGCUUUCAGUGACUGUCACACGUGACCAGCCCCAAUUAUGGCUCCUUCCUCAUGACAUCAGUAUGCAAUGGAGGAUCUCACUUUUUUUUUGCCAGAGGCAAGUGAAUACAUUAUCCAGCAGCGAGGCGUGGGGCAGGCGGCUGCGUAACUCUGGGGUGAUUUGGAUUCCACGCUCGCGUGGGGGUGUGAGCCAACCUCAGAAGUCAUUUUCACUGAUGCUGACACAUAAGGCUUCCCUCAGAGACCUGUCUAUCAAACUGCAACAUGCUAUGCAGAAAAAUUAGAUUACUCAUGCUACAAUAAAGAAGGAGAAGAUGACAAUGAUGAAAAAAAAGGAAGGACUUAUAAAUAUCACAGCUAUUUAUUAAAUGAAUAAAAAUCCCGAUGACGGGGAAAGUA